RNAcentral lists this transfer RNA (74 nucleotides) under Methylobrevis pamukkalensis. RNAcentral describes it as "tRNA-Leu". The record is from RNAcentral. Lineage: Bacteria; Pseudomonadati; Pseudomonadota; Alphaproteobacteria; Hyphomicrobiales; Pleomorphomonadaceae.
GAUCGCCUGGGUCGACGACUACGGCCGGCUCAAGGUCGGCCCGCAGAGUGCCGGCUCCGAUCCGGGGCCGAUCU